AAUAAACACACACACAGACAUGCAUGAACUUAUAUGACUUCAAUAGUGCUCCUCUAAAGGAGGAAGAAGAAGAAAACCAGGAAAGAAGAAAGAUUGCUUCAGAAGCAAGACAAAAAGUGUUGGCAAAGGAAAAAAACUG
Molecule: long non-coding RNA, 139 nt
Filed under: Sarcophilus harrisii (Tasmanian devil)
Lineage: Eukaryota; Metazoa; Chordata; Mammalia; Dasyuromorphia; Dasyuridae
Description: lncRNA (ENSSHAG00000032259.1)
Source: RNAcentral